GGGGCUAUAGCUCAGCUGGGAGAGCGCUACAAUGGCAUUGUAGAGGUCGGCGGUUCGAUCCCGCCUAGCUCCACCA
This 76-nucleotide transfer RNA is filed under the name Thiomicrospira sp. RNAcentral's name for it is "tRNA-Ala". It matches the Rfam family "tRNA". Rfam says of the family: Transfer RNA (tRNA) molecules are approximately 80 nucleotides in length. Their secondary structure includes four short double-helical elements and three loops (D, anti-codon, and T loops). RNAcentral also lists the same sequence under 55 other names. The record is from RNAcentral. Lineage: Bacteria; Pseudomonadati; Pseudomonadota; Gammaproteobacteria; Thiotrichales; Piscirickettsiaceae.